Molecule: long non-coding RNA, 1104 nt
Filed under: Anser cygnoides (Swan goose)
Lineage: Eukaryota; Metazoa; Chordata; Aves; Anseriformes; Anatidae
Description: lncRNA (ENSACDG00005014694.1)
Source: RNAcentral
AUGCAGUCCCAGCAAGCACCAACAAGGAAGGCAGCUGAGGAGAAGGAAAAGCGUCGUGGGCAGAGGCAGAGUGCCGGCAGCACAAAAGACACCAGUGCCCACGGGACCUCUGGCACACAGCCCAUAGACACGUUUAAGCGGUACCAUUGGCACCACAACGAUGCAGGGAACAGGCCAGCCCCUCAACCACACAGUGACAGGGGGCCUGGGCUUUUUCCUACUCAAAAUGGCGGCAUGAGGCAAAGGCAGGAACAUCAGCCACACAGCCGCAAGGACCACAGGCAUGACUAUAGUGCGCAACACAGUCUGGGACCCAAGCAUGGCCAUAAAGCAGAUGGCAGCGUCGGGCCCACAAAUGGAAAUGAAGCGCAGAGUGGAAUGGGACAUCGGCGUGAAAGUGAACGACCCCACGGUUCGGCACCCCGGCUGAAAAGGCUUCCGGACCAAAGGCAUCCCGUGCAGCCAGGCCCCAGCAGGGACCAGCUUGAUCAUCGGCAGCUCCAAGCCGUGCCCCGUCCUUCCCCUAAACCUGACAGCAACUCAGGCCAUGGGCCUUACAAUUCAUGCAAUGGUCGCGUGGGGCGAAGGCAGGAGCAUUAUACAGACAGCCGCAUGCAGCAGAGGCGUGCCCAUAGUCCUCAACGCAGUGUGGGAUCCAGGCAUGGCCAGAAACGAGACGGCAGCAUCGGAGCCACAAAUGGAAAUCCACCGCACAGUGGCAUGGGACCUAGGUGUGAAAGUGGACGACCCUGUGGUUCGGCAGCCUGGCUGGAAAAGUCUCCUGAUCAAAGGCAUCGUGUGCGGCCAGGACUCAGCAAGGAUGGGCUCAAACAUCAGCAAGUCCAAGCCAUGCGCUGCCCUUCCCCUAAACCAGACAGCGACUCACGGCAUGGGUCUUCCAAUUGUCGCAACAAUGGCAUGGGGCAAAGGCAGGAACAUCGUCCAGACAGCCGCGCGGAGCAGAGGCAUGCCUAUCAAGCAAGCCCAGACACAUAUAAGCGGUACCAUUGGCACUGCAGCGAUGCGGGGAGCAGGCCGGCCCCUCAAACACACAGCGACAGGGGGCCUGGGCUUUCCCAUAGCCGCAACAGUGGGGCAAAGUAA